Long non-coding RNA from Sebastes umbrosus (honeycomb rockfish), 3011 nucleotides. RefSeq lists it as uncharacterized. The record is from RefSeq and is a predicted model, not a curated record. Lineage: Eukaryota; Metazoa; Chordata; Actinopteri; Perciformes; Sebastidae. The transcript has 3 exons.
UUGCUGCCCUUUUUUUUGUCUUUUUUUUCCAGAGCACCGGUGUCGUGUCAAAAUCUGCAUCCCUCGUCACAAUCUGCUUCCUGCUUCAAUGUAGCCUGCUUGCUUACACCCUUACACCCUUUUCCACCUGUUUAUUCAUCAAAAUCAUGCACUUAUUAUAUAUAUAUUUGACUAAGAAGGGAGAAAACGCCGGUUGCUAGGUAGCAUAUGGUUUCCACCCUAGCAACACAUUCACGUUUAGCACGACACAACCGUUAUUUUUACAACCUCUACGUCCGUUUUGUGUCAAAGUAUUAGUUAGAUUAGGCCCUCUUAUUAGCUAAUACACUGUUAAAGGCCUAGUGUGUGCGUGUGACUGUGUGGAGGAAGCUGUCAUCUCCUCCUCUUUGUAUCGUGGCUGUCCACCAACUAGGCCCAGCCGCCAUUUGUCACAGGUUCUUACAGGGUUGACAGCCUUUUAGCUUCCAUAUGACAUGAUUAUAAUGGUUUUAUUAAGCUAUUAUAAGGUUUGAUAACUUGUCACGUUGAUCCAAACUGUUAUGGCCCUGUGUAACUAGAAGAAGAAGAAGAGCUUCACUAUAUUAAGCACAAGUUGUACAGCCUUGACAGCCUUUUAGCUUCCAUAUGACAUGAUUAUAAUAGUGUAAUUAAGCUAUUAUAAGGUGAAAUAACUUGUCAUGCUGUCAACAUGGCCUGUGUAACCAUGUCUUGGGAUGACCUGGCUAGAAGAAGAAGAAGAGCUUCACUAUAUUAAGCACAAGUUGUACAGAUGUGACAUGAUUAUGAUGGUGUAAUUAAGGUUAGAUAACUUGUCAUUCUGUCACCCAAACUGUUAUGGCAAACUGUGUAACCAUGUCUUGGGAUGACCUGGCUAGAAGAAGAAGAUCUUCACUAUAAAAAGCACAAGUUUCUACAGCCUUUUUGGCUUUCAUUUGACAUGAUUAUAAUAGUGUAAUUAAGCUAUUAUAAGGUUUGAUAACUUGUCACGUUGAUCCAAACUGUUAUGGCCCUGUGUAACUGGAAGAAGAAGAAGAGCUUCACUAUAUUAAGCACAAAUUGUACAGGGUUGACAGCCUUUUAGCUUCCAUAUGACAUGAUUAUAAUGCUGUAACAAAGCUAAGUUAUCUAUUAUAAGGUGAAAUAACUUGUCACUCUGUCACUCUGGCCUGUGUAACCAUGUCUUGGGAUGACCUGGCUAGAAGAAGAAGAAGAGCUUCACUAUAUUAAGCACAAAUUGUACAGGGUUGACAGCCUUUUAGCUUCCAUAUGACAUGAUUAUGAUGCUGUAACAAAGCUAAGUUAUCUAUUAUAAGGUGAAAUAACUUGUCACUCUGUCACUCUGGCCUGUGUAACCAUGUCUUGGGAUGACCUGGCUAGAAGAAGAAGAAGAGCUUCACUAUAUUAAGCACAAGUUGUACAGAUGUGACAUGAUUAUAAUGGUGUAAUUAAGCUAUUAUAAGGUUUGAUAACUUGUCACGUUGAUCCAAACUGUUAUGGCCCUGUGUAACUGGAAGAAGAAGAAGAGCUUUACUAUAUUAAGCACAAAUUGUACAGUGUUGACAGCCUUUUAGCUUCCAUAUGACAUGAUUAUAAUGCUGUAACAAAGUUUAAGUUAUCAAUUAUAAGGUGAAAUAACUUGUCACUCUGUCACCCUGGCCUGUGUAACCAUGUCUUGGGAUGACCUGGCUAGAAGAAGAAGAGCUUCACUAUAUUAAGCACAAGUUGUACAGAUGUGACAUGAUUAUGAUGGUGUAAUUAAGCUAAGUUAUCUAUUAUAAGGUUAUAUAAUUUGUCAUUCUGUCACCCAAACUGUUAUGGCAAACUGUGUAACCAUGUCUUGGGAUGACCUGGCUAGAAAAAGAAGAUCUUCACUAUAUAAAGCACACGUUUCUACAGCCUUGACAGCCUUUUUGGCUUUCAUUUGACAUGAUUAUAACAGUUUAAUUAAGCUAUUAUAAGGUGAAAUAACUUGUCACGUUGAUCCAAACUGUUAUGGCCCUGUGUAACUAGAAGAAGAAGAAGAAGAAGAGCUUCACUAUAUUAAGCACAAAUUGUACAGGGUUGACAGCCUUUUUAGCUUUCAAAAUGACAUGAUUAUGAUGGUGUAACAAAGCUAAGUUAUCUAUUAUAAGGAUAGGUAACUUGUCAUACUGUAUAACCAUGUCUUGGGAUGACCUGGCUAGAAGAAGAAGAGCUUCACUAUAUUAAGCACACGUUGUACAGAAAUGACAUGAUUAUGAUGGUGUAACAAAGCUAAGUUAUCUAUUAUAAGGUGAAAUAACUUGUCACCCUGGCCUGUAUAACCAUGUCUUGGGAUGACCUGGCUAGAAGAAGAGCAUCAAUAUAUAAAGCACAAGUUUCUACAGGGUUGACAGCCUUUUAGCUUCCAAAAUGACAUAAUAAGAUAACUUAGCUUUGUUACACCAUCAUAAUCAUGUCAUUUUGAAAGCUAAAAAGGCUGUCAACCCUGUAGAAACUUGUGCUUAAUAUAGUGAAGCUCUUCUUCUUCUUCUUCUAGCCAGGCCAUCCCAAGACAUGGUUACACAGGGCCAUAACAGUUUAUUUAAUAACAAGUUAUUUCACCUUAUAAUAAGAUAACUUAGCUUUGUUAAACCAUCAUAAUCAUAAGUUAUCUAUAACUUGUCACCCAAACUGUUAUGUUAUCACCUGCAUAACCAUUUUUUUGGGAUGACCUGGCUAGAAGAAGAAGAGCUUCACUAUAUUAAGCACAAGUUGUACGGAAAUGACAUGAUUAUGAUGGUGUAACAAAGCUUAAGUUAUCUAUUAUAAGGUUUAACCAUUUCUCGGCUAGAAGAAGAAGAGGAGCUUCACUAUAUUAAGGACAAGUUGUACAGGGUUGACAGCCUUUUUAGCUUUCAUAUUACAUGAUUAUGAUGGUGUAACAAAGCUAAGUUAUCUAUUACAAGGUUAGAUAACUUGUCACCCUGGCCUGUAUAACCAUUUCUUGGGAUGACCUGGCUAGAAGAAGAGCUUCACUAUAUUAAGCACAA